RNAcentral lists this ribosomal RNA (756 nucleotides) under Staphylococcus epidermidis. Its description in RNAcentral is "partial 23S ribosomal RNA". It matches the Rfam family "Bacterial large subunit ribosomal RNA", at positions 1 to 754 of the family's 2925-position model. The record is from RNAcentral. Lineage: Bacteria; Bacillati; Bacillota; Bacilli; Caryophanales; Staphylococcaceae.
GAUUAAGUUAUUAAGGGCGCACGGUGGAUGCCUUGGCACUAGAAGCCGAUGAAGGACGUUACUAACGACGAUAUGCUUUGGGUAGCUGUAAGUAAGCGUUAAUCCAGAGAUUUCCGAAUGGGGGAACCCAGCAUGAGUUAUGUCAUGUUAUCGACAUGUGAAUUCAUAGCAUGUCAGAAGGCAGACCCGGAGAACUGAAACAUCUUAGUACCCGGAGGAAGAGAAAGAAAAAUCGAUUCCCUGAGUAGCGGCGAGCGAAACGGGAAGAGCCCAAACCAACAAGCUUGCUUGUUGGGGUUGUAGGACACUCUAUACGGAGUUACAAAAGAACAUGUUAGACGAAUCAUCUGGAAAGAUGAAUCAAAGAAGGUAAUAAUCCUGUAGUCGAAAACAUAUUCUCUCUUGAGUGGAUCCUGAGUACGACGGAGCACGUGAAAUUCCGUCGGAAUCUGGGAGGACCAUCUCCUAAGGCUAAAUACUCUCUAGUGACCGAUAGUGAACCAGUACCGUGAGGGAAAGGUGAAAAGUACCCCGGAAGGGGAGUGAAAGAGAACUUGAAACCGUGUGCUUACAAGUAGUCAGAGCCCGUUAAUGGGUGAUGGCGUGCCUUUUGUAGAAUGAACCGGCGAGUUACGAUCUGAUGCAAGGUUAAGCAGCAAAUGUGGAGCCGCAGCGAAAGCGAGUCUGAAUAGGGCGUUGAGUAUUUGGUCGUAGACCCGAAACCAGGUGAUCUACCCUUGGUCAGGUUGAAGUUCA